GGGCGCUUGGUCUAGGGGUAUGAUUCUCGCUUCGCACAGUGCGCAACAGCGCAACCGGCCUUGUGAGCGGUCCGGGGUUCAAUUCCCCGAGUGUCCA
RNAcentral lists this transfer RNA (97 nucleotides) under Colletotrichum orbiculare MAFF 240422. Its description in RNAcentral is "tRNA-Ala for anticodon CGC". Lineage: Eukaryota; Fungi; Ascomycota; Sordariomycetes; Glomerellales; Glomerellaceae. The record is from RNAcentral.